RNAcentral lists this ribosomal RNA (484 nucleotides) under uncultured bacterium. Its description in RNAcentral is "partial 16S ribosomal RNA". It matches the Rfam family "Bacterial small subunit ribosomal RNA", at positions 28 to 507 of the family's 1533-position model. The record is from RNAcentral.
AUUGAACGCUGGCGGCAUGCUUUACACAUGCAAGUCGAACGGCAGCGCGGGCUUCGGCCUGGCGGCGAGUGGCGAACGGGUGAGUAAUGCAUCGGAACGUGCCCAGUCGUGGGGGAUAGCCCGGCGAAAGCCGGAUUAAUACCGCAUACGCCCUGAGGGUGAAAGCGGGGGACCGAAAGGCCUCGCGCUAUUGGAGCGGGCGCUGUCGGAUUCGCUAGUUGGUGGGGUAAAGGCUUACCAAGGCGACGAUCCGUAGCCGGUCUGAGAGGACGACCAGCCACACUGGGACUGAGACACGGCCCAGACUCCUGCGGGAGGCAGCAGUGGGGAAUUUUGGACAAUGGGGGCAACCCUGAUCCAGCCAUGCCGCGUGCGAGAAGAAGGCCUUCGGGUUGUAAACCGCUUUUGUUCGGGAAGAAAUCCUCUGGGCUAAUACCCCGGGGGGAUGACGGUACCGGAAGAAUAAGCACCGGCUAACUACGUG